GGACGAACGCUGCCGGCGUGCCUAAUACAUGCAAGUAGAACGCUGAAGAGAGGAGCUUGCUCUUCUUGGAUGAGUUGCGAACGGGUGAGUAACGCGUAGGUAACCUGCCUUGUAGCGGGGGAUAACUAUUGGAAACGAUAGCUAAUACCGCAUAACAAUGGAUGACACAUGUCAUUUAUUUGAAAGGGGCAAUUGCUCCACUACAAGAUGGACCUGCGUUGUAUUAGCUAGUAGGUGAGGUAAUGGCGCACCUAGGCGAGGAUACAUAGCCGACCUGAGAGGGUGGUCGGCCGCACUGGGACUGAGACACGGCCCAGACGCCUACGGGAGGCAGCAGUAGGGAAUCUUCGGCAAUGGGGGCAACCCUGACCGAGCAACGCCGCGGGAGUGAAGAAGGUUGUCGGAUCGUAAAGCUCUGUUGUAAGUCAAGAACGGGUGUGAGAGUGGAAAGUUCACACUGUGACGGUAGCUUACCAGAAAGGGACGGCUAACUACGUG
RNAcentral lists this ribosomal RNA (498 nucleotides) under uncultured bacterium. RNAcentral's name for it is "partial 16S ribosomal RNA". It matches the Rfam family "Bacterial small subunit ribosomal RNA", at positions 27 to 507 of the family's 1533-position model. The record is from RNAcentral.